UACGGAGGGGGCUAGCGUUGUUCGGAAUUACUGGGCGUAAAGCGCGCGUAGGCGGACCUGCAAGUCGGGGGUGAAAGCCCGAGGCUCAACCUCGGAACUGCCUUCGAUACUGCGGGUCUCGAGUCCGGGAGAGGUGAGUGGAAUUCCUGGUGUAGCGGUGAAAUGCGUAGAUAUCAGGAGGAACACCUGUGGCGAAAGCGGCUCACUGGACCAUAACUGACGCUGAUGCACGAAAGCUAGGGGAGCAAACAGG
RNAcentral lists this ribosomal RNA (253 nucleotides) under uncultured bacterium. RNAcentral's name for it is "partial 16S ribosomal RNA". It matches the Rfam family "Bacterial small subunit ribosomal RNA", at positions 524 to 776 of the family's 1533-position model. The record is from RNAcentral.